RNAcentral lists this long non-coding RNA (378 nucleotides) under Sander lucioperca (pikeperch). RNAcentral's name for it is "lncRNA (ENSSLUG00000025694.1)". Lineage: Eukaryota; Metazoa; Chordata; Actinopteri; Perciformes; Percidae. The record is from RNAcentral.
GGAAGGAAUCGUGCAGCAGUUUAAAGUUUCUCUGUUUAUUCUGGUGUUUACAGGAUGUUCAAGUUAGUGAUACUGUUCCUGACACUGUCAGGCCUCCAAGCUGCCCCACUUGCAGUCCCAAGAAGUUUGCAGAAGACAUCUUCAACCUAUAAGCUCCCUGAUGGCUUUCACCAGGGCACUGAACACUCCGACAUCCAUGAACCUGUUCCUAGGGGCUUCCGACAAGGUACAGAGCCCUCCAGGAGGUUCCUUGUUGACCUCAACACAGGCCUGGUGCAGGAACACAUCAGUGAGAUGGACAGGAGAGUGGCUUCCAUCCGUCCUUCUCUGGAAGAGGGAUUUGGAGAGAUGGAGAGAAGACACUGGCUGACAGACGAG